This 425-nucleotide ribosomal RNA is filed under the name uncultured bacterium. RNAcentral describes it as "bacterial SSU rRNA". It matches the Rfam family "Bacterial small subunit ribosomal RNA", at positions 354 to 796 of the family's 1533-position model. The record is from RNAcentral.
GUGGGGAAUAUUGGACAAUGGGCGCAAGCCUGAUCCAGCCAUGCCGCGUGAGUGAUGAAGGCCUUAGGGUUGUAAAGCUCUUUCAGUGGGGACGAUAAUGACGGUACCCACAGAAGAAGCCCCGGCUAACUUCGUGCCAGCAGCCGCGGUAAUACGAAGGGGGCUAGCGUUGUUCGGAUUUACUGGGCGUAAAGCGCACGUAGGCGGAUCGUUAAGUCGGGGGUGAAAUCCUGGAGCUCAACUCCAGAACUGCCUUCGAUACUGGCGAUCUUGAGUCCGGAAGAGGUGAGUGGAACUCCUAGUGUAGAGGUGAAAUUCGUAGAUAUUCGCAAGAACACCAGUGGCGAAGGCGGCUCACUGGCCCGAUACUGACGCUGAGGUGCGAAAGCGUGGGGAGCAAACAGGAUUAGAAACCCCAGUAGUCC